AGUCAUAUGCUUGUCUCAAAGAUUAAGCCAUGCAUGUCUCAGUACAAGCCAAAUUAAGGUGAAACCGCGAAAGGCUCAUUAAAUCAGUUAUGGUUCCUUAGAUCGUACACACAUUUACUUGGAUAACUGUGGUAAUUCUAGAGCUAAUACAUGCCAACAGAACUCUGACCGGAGACGGAAAGAGUGCUUUUAUUAGAUCAAAACCAGUCGGUGAUGGGUCUCGGCCUGUCAUCGUACACUUUGGUGACUCUGAAUAACUUUUGCUGAUCGCACGGUCUCGCACCGGCGACGCAUCUUUCAAAUGUCUGCCUUAUCAACUGUCGAUGGUAGGUUCUGCGCCUACCAUGGUUGUAACGGGUAACGGGGAAUCAGGGUUCGAUUCCGGAGAGGGAGCCUGAGAAACGGCUACCACAUCCAAGGAAGGCAGCAGGCGCGCAAAUUACCCACUCCCAGCACGGGGAGGUAGUGACGAAAAAUAACGAUACGGGACUCAUCCGAGGCCCCGUAAUCGGAAUGAGUACACUCUAAACCCAUUAACAAGUAUCAAUUGGAGGGUAAGUCUGGUGCCAGCAGCCGCGGUAACUCCAGCUCCAAUAGCGUAU
RNAcentral lists this ribosomal RNA (602 nucleotides) under Dissochaetus sp. IBE<ESP>:AF219. RNAcentral's name for it is "SSU rRNA". It matches the Rfam family "Eukaryotic small subunit ribosomal RNA", at positions 22 to 602 of the family's 1831-position model. Lineage: Eukaryota; Metazoa; Arthropoda; Insecta; Coleoptera; Leiodidae. The record is from RNAcentral.